Molecule: ribosomal RNA, 424 nt
Filed under: uncultured bacterium
Lineage: Bacteria
Description: partial 16S ribosomal RNA
Rfam family: Bacterial small subunit ribosomal RNA
Source: RNAcentral
AAUUUUGGACAAUGGGGGAAACCCUGAUCCAGCCAUCCCGCGCGUAUGAUGAAGGCAUUCGGGUUGUAAAGUACUUUUGGCAGAGAAGAAAAGGCAUCCCCUAACACGGGAUGCUGCUGACGGUAUCUGCAGAAUAAGCACAGGCCAACUACGUGCCAGCAGCCGCGGUAAUACGUAGGGUGCAAGCGUUAAUCGGAAUUACUGGGCGUAAAGCGUGAGUCGGCGGUUCGGGAAGAAAGAUGUGAAAUCCCAAGGCUCAAACUUGGAACUGCGUUUUUAACUGCCGAGCUAGAGUAUGUCAGAGGGGGGUAGAAUUCCACGUGUAUCAGUGAGAUGCGUAGAUAUGUGGAGGAAUACCGAUGGCGAGGGCAGCCCCCUGGGAUAAUACUGACGCUCAGACACGAAAGCGUGGGGAGCAAACAGG